GAGGGAACGAAUAAGAUGGAACAACGAUGGGCUGCCUGUCAACUCUCUUGAUUUUUUGCCUUAGAGAAAGAGAACAAUAUACAUCUCUUUCAACUCGAAGGUUAAAUCGUUAUUUGAAAUUUGAAUUUAAGGCAAAGAAUUGUGAAUACUUGCUCUACAAAGUUUGCUACUUACGAAGGCAGUGUACUUUUAUUUUGAGAGAAUCUAGUGAGAAGAAGAGACUUUUUUUAGUGGAAUUUUGCUACUAAAUUUAUUUUGUGGGAAAGAAAGACUUUCAAAUUUUUUGUUCUUUUGAGAACAUCCAUCAUGUCUCAAAGUUGCGUAGCAUUUAACUGCACAGCUAGAAGUAAGAAAGGGUAGAAUAUAAAAUUUCACUCUUUUCCGAAUCCAGGCACAUUGAGAAAUGAAUGGAUAUUGGCUUUGAGAAGAGCCGAUUUUGUUCCUACUCAAUAUUCAAGGAUAUGCAGCAAUCAUUUUCAGGAAAAUGAUUAUCUAACGAAUAUGCAAGGAAAAAGUGUUUUAAAGAAAAAUGCUGUUCCAUCUAAAUUUAACUUUAAAAACUAUCUGUCAAAGUACAAAAUUUUAAAAAAGGAAGAAUCCUCAGACACUAACGUUCCAUCAUCCCAGGAAGGAAAUCAACUGAAUUCAGAAUCCCUACCACCCAUAAAAACAAUGGAACAUGGUAGUAAUAUCAGAAAAAGAAAAAGAUCAGUACCUGUAUGCGUGAAUGAUUUUGUAGAAGCUGAUCUUGAAAACCCUGCUAAGCGACACAAAUAUUGGAAUAUUUCUCAAUCUGCCAUUUCUAAACUGAGGGAAACCAAUAAAAAAUUUGCUACCAUGAUUUGCAAGUACAAGAAAAAAAUAAAUACUUUGAAUGAUCUCCAGGAUAUGAUUUAAAAAAAAAGAUUUCAAAUUUCUUCUGAAUCCUCGAUAGUACUAAAGGUAUUCACUCAUGAAAUAAACAUUAUUAUUAUUUAA
Molecule: long non-coding RNA, 978 nt
Organism: Harmonia axyridis
Lineage: Eukaryota; Metazoa; Arthropoda; Insecta; Coleoptera; Coccinellidae
Exons: 4
Source: RefSeq, a predicted model, not a curated record